GUAUAAACAUGUGUGUCACAUAAUUUGCAACAAAACAUAACAUAGAUCUGAUAACACAUCAUAUAAACCAUAAUAACUAAACUUCAUUAAAAUUCUACUACUACUUAAUAUAACUUCCAAGACAGCUGUUGAAACUACCAGAAAACCAAACAUGUUUCAAACUGCCGAAAAGCAAGGACCAGUGCCACCCUUCUUGUCAGCAACAUCUGGAAUGCUUGAAUAGCUGUAGAGGUGGUUUGACAUUUUCCAUCCCCAAUCACGUUUCCUCAAGAUCGACAUUUGGGGCCAUCGACCGAUCCUCACAUAAUGCUCUCUAAUCUUCCCGUCUCCCAACAAACUUGUGACUAUGGUGUAACAACAUUCAUGGCCUCCCCACACCUUGUCAUCAGGAUCAGCGGUUUGACUCCCAUCUGGGUGAAAAUAGCGUCGCAUUAGUGGGCGCGUCCCUUUCCAGUAUGGAUCCAACCUUUUUGAAGUGGAACUCCCAAGAAUGAUCCCAUAGGUCUUCCU
Molecule: long non-coding RNA, 510 nt
Filed under: Helianthus annuus (common sunflower)
Lineage: Eukaryota; Viridiplantae; Streptophyta; Magnoliopsida; Asterales; Asteraceae
Description: sRNA HanXRQr2_Chr06g0273021
Source: RNAcentral